UAGGUGUGAGCUGGGAAAUCAGAGCAGAGAGCUGAAAAAAAUCAUAAGGCACUGGAAGUGAGGGGAAAAAAAACCUACAGGGCACGAACUGAUGGAGAGCUGUGGAUGCAGCUCUGACAUGAAACAUGGAGAGAACAUUGUCCAGCCCAAGAAAUCUCCAGGCACUGUCAGGAGCUGCAGCUGAGAACCCCCAGCUGCGCUCCUCUGUCGCUGUGGGUGUUGCAGGACUGCACAAUCUGCUUUAAAGCAUGUUUUUCACUUCUACACAAACUUGUUAAAAAUACUCCUCCUUUGUAGAAUAAAAGAGAAGAUUUGCCCUCCUUAUUCCA
RNAcentral lists this long non-coding RNA (329 nucleotides) under Cyanistes caeruleus (blue tit). RNAcentral's name for it is "lncRNA (ENSCCEG00000000180.1)". Lineage: Eukaryota; Metazoa; Chordata; Aves; Passeriformes; Paridae. The record is from RNAcentral.